AGCAGUCGCCGCGGGAAUACGAAGGGUGCAAGCGUUACUCGGAAUUACUGGGCGUAAAGCGUGCGUAGGUGGUGGUUUAAGUCCGUUGUGAAAGCCCUGGGCUCAACCUGGGAAUUGCAGUGGAUACUGGGUCACUAGAGUGUGGUAGAGGAUAGUGGAAUUUCCGGUGUAGCAGUGAAAUGCGUAGAGAUCGGAAGAAACAUCUGUGGCGAAGGCGACUAUCUGGGCCAACACUGACACUGAGGCACGAAAGCGUGGGGAGCAAACAGGAUUAGAUACCCGAGUAGUCCCUGUCUCUUAUAC
This 303-nucleotide ribosomal RNA is filed under the name uncultured bacterium. RNAcentral describes it as "partial 16S ribosomal RNA". It matches the Rfam family "Bacterial small subunit ribosomal RNA", at positions 507 to 807 of the family's 1533-position model. The record is from RNAcentral.